RNAcentral lists this ribosomal RNA (467 nucleotides) under uncultured soil bacterium. Its description in RNAcentral is "bacterial SSU rRNA". It matches the Rfam family "Bacterial small subunit ribosomal RNA", at positions 26 to 486 of the family's 1533-position model. The record is from RNAcentral.
AGAUUGAACGCUGGCGGCAUGCCUUACACAUGCAAGUCGAACGGUAACGGGUUAAGCCGACGAGUGGCGAACGGGUGAGUAAUAUAUCGGAACGUGCCCAGUCGUGGGGGAUAACGUAGAGAAAUUUACGCUAAUACCGCAUACGAUCCAAGGAUGAAAGCGGGGGACCUUCGGGCCUCGUGCGACUGGAGCGGCUGAUAGUCAGAUUAGGUUGUUGGUGAGGUAAAAGCUCACCAAGCCGACGAUCUGUAGCUGGUUUGAGAGAACGACCAGCCACACUGGGACUGAGACACGGCCCAGACUCCUACGGGAGGCAGCAGUGGGAAUUUGGACAAGUGGGCGAAAGCCUGAUCCAGCAAUGCCGCGUGCAGGAAGAAGGCCGUUCGGGUAGUAAACGUGUCUUUUUGGUAACGGAACGAAAGGUCUGACCCUAAGUACGGCGGCUCGAGUCGACGGUACCGUAAGAA